UUAGGCAUAGGAGAAAGGUUUUCUUAAAAAAAAUAAAAAACAAAUUACUUAGAACGAUGAAUGAUAACAGGAACAUCAACAACAACCUAAUUGUUGCAAGUAUGGCCAUGUGUCACAAAGUUGGCGCAAGCUUCGUCUUUAUCUCCACUGUCUUUAAUAACGACAACUGAGUGUUGAUCGUUCUCAUGAAUGAACCCUCCACUAUGGAAAAUUGGUUGCAUAACUUUGACAUUGGCG
Molecule: long non-coding RNA, 237 nt
Filed under: Lathyrus oleraceus (garden pea)
Lineage: Eukaryota; Viridiplantae; Streptophyta; Magnoliopsida; Fabales; Fabaceae
Description: Pisum sativum (pea) long non-coding RNA (PSAT_LNC011487)
Source: RNAcentral